AAUAGAUACCCGGGUAGUCCACGCCGUAAACGAUGAGUGCUAAGUGUUAGGGGGUUUCCGCCCCUUAGUGCUGCAGCUAACGCAUUAAGCACUCCGCCUGGGGAGUACGGUCGCAAGACUGAAACUCAAAGGAAUUGACGGGGGCCCGCACAAGCGAUGGAGCAUGUGGUUUAAUUCGAAGCAACGCGAAGAACCUUACCAGGUCUUGACAUCCCACUGACCGCUAUGGAGACAUAGUUUUCCCUUCGGGGACAGUGGUGACAGGUGGUGCAUGGUUGUCGUCAGCUCGUGUCGUGAGAUGUUGGGUUAAGUCCCGCAACGAGCGCAACCCUUGAUCUUAGUUGCCAUCAUUUAGUUGGGCACUCUAAGGUGACUGCCGGUGACAAACCGGAGGAAGGUGGGGAUGACGUCAAAUCAUCAUGCCCCUUAUGACCUGGGCUACACACGUGCUACAAUGGACGGUACAAACGGUUGCCAACCCGCGAGGGGGAGCUAAUCCGAUAAAACCGUUCUCAGUUCGGAUUGUAGGCUGCAACUCGCCUAC
This 544-nucleotide ribosomal RNA is filed under the name uncultured bacterium. Its description in RNAcentral is "bacterial SSU rRNA". It matches the Rfam family "Bacterial small subunit ribosomal RNA", at positions 777 to 1319 of the family's 1533-position model. The record is from RNAcentral.